AUGUGCCUUAUCACAGAUUACGCCCCUGAAAACCUUAAUGUUAAAUCAAACGCAGCUAAUAGUAGGACUGAAGCUGUUGUGGAGGUGGCAACAUCCGAGAAUAAACAGGAAGCAAGCUACCUGACAACCUACUGGGCCAACAAGGAUAAAAUGGAGUGUGAUGCAGAGCAUGAGAGAUUUGGAAAAUUAGAAGGAAAGGAUCCUGAAAGCGGUGCCUCCACUGUCUGUGUUACAGGGAUGUCACCACACUUCAGGACAGAUGAAAACCUGAACACGCUGUCUUUUACACAGCUGGGCCUGAAAAUAAUUUUAAUGAAAGCAGUAAUUUUUAAUGUGGUGAUGACAAUCCUUACGUGGAAGAAAAAAGUGAGUAUGCAAAGGGGGUGGUAA
Molecule: long non-coding RNA, 390 nt
Organism: Anser cygnoides (Swan goose)
Lineage: Eukaryota; Metazoa; Chordata; Aves; Anseriformes; Anatidae
Source: Ensembl